GUUGAACGCUGGCGGCAUGCCUAACACAUGCAAGUCGAACGAUCACAGGAAGAACUUUCCUUCUUUGCUUUCGCGUGGCGGGGGUGUGAGUAACGUCUAUGACCCUGCUUUAUGGCUGGGAUUAAUUCCUGAAACCGGUAGCUAAUCCGGCAUAACUUUUCAACCCCAUAGAUGAGUAGCUUCAGGCCUCUUUCCAUCCGCUUUUCCCUGGUUGGAUUAGCUAGUAGGUGGGGUAACGGCUUACCUAGGCGACGAUGCCUAGCUGGUCUGAGAGGAUGACCGGCCACACUGGAACUGAGACACGGUCCAGACUCCUACGGGAGGCAGCAGUAGGGAAUAUUGCGCAAUGGGCGAAAGCCUGAUGGAGCAACGCCGCGUGUAUGAAGAAGGUCUUCGGGUUGUAAAAUACUGUCAGUAGGGAGGAAGAGAGUAAAGUGAAUACCUUUACUCAUUGACGUUACCCACAGAAGAAGCAACGGCUAACUACGUG
Molecule: ribosomal RNA, 490 nt
Filed under: uncultured bacterium
Lineage: Bacteria
Description: partial 16S ribosomal RNA
Rfam family: Bacterial small subunit ribosomal RNA
Source: RNAcentral